UCCGUUUGAUCCUGCCGGAGGUUACUGCUAUCGAGGUUCGACUAAGCCAUGCGAGUCGAAUGUAGCAAUACAUGGCGUACUGCUCAGUAACACGCGGACAACCUACCCUUAGGUCGGGGAUAAACCCGGGAAACUGGGUAUAAUACCCGAUAGUCCUCGACUGCUGGAAUGCAUCGAGUGCUAAAGCUCCGGCGCCUAAGGAUGGGUCUGCGGCCUAUCAGGUAGUAGUGGGUGUAGCGUACCUACUAGCCUACGACGGGUACGGGUUGUGAGAGCAAGAGCCCGGAGAUGGAUUCUGAGACACGAAUCCAGGCCCUACGGGGUGCAGCAGGCGCGAAAACUUUACAAUGCUGGAAACAGCGAUAAGGGGACCUCGAGUGCCAGGUUACAAAUCUGGCUGUCGUGAUGCCUAAAAAGCAUUGCAUAGCAAGGGCCGGGCAAGACCGGUGCCAGCCGCCGCGGUAACACCGGCGGCUCGAGUGGUAACCGUUAUUAUUGGGUCUAAAGGGUCUGUAGCCGGCCGGAUAAGUCUCUUGGGAAAUCUGGCAGCUUAACUGUCAGGCUUUCAGGGGAUACUGUCUGGCUCGAGGCCGGGAGAGGUGAGAGGUACUUCAGGGGUAGGGGUGAAAUCUUGUAAUCCUUGAAGGACCACCAGUGGCGAAGGCGUCUCACCAGAACGGACCUGACGGCAAGGGACGAAAGCUAGGGGCACGAACCGGAUUAGAUACCCGGGUAGUCCUAGCCGUAAACGAUACUCGCUAGGUGUCGGCCACGGUGCGACCGUUGUCGGUGCCGUAGGGGAGCCGUGAAGCGAGCCACCUGGGAAGUACGGCCGCAAGGCUGAAACUUAAAGGAAUUGGCGGGGGAGCACCACAACGGGUGGAGCUUGCGGUUUAAUUGGAUUCAACGCCGGAAAUCUUACCGGGACCGACAGCAAUAUGAAGGCCAGGCUGAAGACUUUGCCGGAUUAGCUGAGAGGUGGUGCAUGGCCGUCGUCAGUUCGUACUGUGAAGCAUCCUGUUAAGUCAGGCAACGAGCGAGACCCA
Molecule: ribosomal RNA, 1046 nt
Filed under: uncultured archaeon
Lineage: Archaea
Description: bacterial SSU rRNA
Rfam family: Archaeal small subunit ribosomal RNA
Source: RNAcentral